RNAcentral lists this ribosomal RNA (254 nucleotides) under uncultured bacterium. RNAcentral describes it as "partial 16S ribosomal RNA". It matches the Rfam family "Bacterial small subunit ribosomal RNA", at positions 524 to 776 of the family's 1533-position model. The record is from RNAcentral.
UACGUAGGGUGCGAGCGUUGUCCGGAAUUAUUGGGCGUAAAGAGCUCGUAGGCGGUGUGUCACGUCGGCCGUGAAAACCUGCAGCUUAACUGUGGGCGUGCGGUCGAUACGGGCAUCACUGGAGUUCGGCAGGGGAGACUGGAAUUCUUGGUGUAGCAGUGAAAUGCGUAGAUAUCAAGAGGAACACCAGUGGCGAAGGCGAGUCCCUGGACAACACCUGACACUGAGGCACGAAAGCUAGGGGAGCAAACAGG